Molecule: ribosomal RNA, 273 nt
Filed under: Triticum aestivum (bread wheat)
Lineage: Eukaryota; Viridiplantae; Streptophyta; Magnoliopsida; Poales; Poaceae
Description: partial small subunit ribosomal RNA
Source: RNAcentral
UUUCUUCCUGGCAAAGAAACCUUUUAUACUGUGGGCUUAGCUGCUACAUGUUGGGCCAUCUGGUUGGUGCGUAAUCGGGCCACUUUUGAGAAAAAACAGAUUAAAACUCCUUUUGAGAUUAUUUUCUCCCUUUGUUUGUUUCUGUUAUACUGGACAGGUUUGCAGAAAGGAGAGGCGGCUGGAGAGCUUCGUGCAGGUGCAGAGAUGAUCAGGAACGGCACGCUGCAGCUGAUGAAGCUGUGUGACCCUGUCAAGCAAACGAUCCAGACGUGA